CGCGUAGGCGGUUUGUUUAGUCGGAUGUGAAAUCCCCGGGCUCAACCUGGGAAUUGCAUUCGAUACUGGCAGGCUAGAAUGUGGUAGAGGGAAGUGGAAUUCCAGGUGUAGCGGUGAAAUGCGUAGAUAUCUGGAGGAACAUCAGUGGCGAAGGCGACUUCCUGGACCAACAUUGACGCUGAGGUGCGAAAGCGUGGGGAGCAAACA
This 207-nucleotide ribosomal RNA is filed under the name uncultured bacterium. Its description in RNAcentral is "partial 16S ribosomal RNA". It matches the Rfam family "Bacterial small subunit ribosomal RNA", at positions 568 to 774 of the family's 1533-position model. The record is from RNAcentral.